GCCAGUGUGCUGUAAUGGUUUGAACAUUGGACUACUAAUCUGGAGACCAGGGUUCAAUUCUCUACUUGGCCA
Molecule: non-coding RNA, 72 nt
Organism: Phrynosoma platyrhinos (Desert horned lizard)
Lineage: Eukaryota; Metazoa; Chordata; Lepidosauria; Squamata; Phrynosomatidae
Source: the annotation of a GenBank genome assembly